This 338-nucleotide long non-coding RNA is filed under the name Heterocephalus glaber (naked mole-rat). RNAcentral's name for it is "lncRNA (ENSHGLG00000044266.1)". Lineage: Eukaryota; Metazoa; Chordata; Mammalia; Rodentia; Bathyergidae. The record is from RNAcentral.
GCCUGCUAGGAUCCACCCCUUAAAGGUUCCAGCGCUUCCCGCUGAGCCACCUCCCCUAAGGUUCCUGCCCGGGAUUAGAGAUGGCAACUCACCGGCCGGCUGAGUGAAACGGAGCCUCAAGAGAAGCACUUCUGUGCAGAAAUGGCGGAAUAUGCUCAGGCUUCGGACAGUAAUGAGGCAGCAGGAACACUUGCUUAUGUUUAAGGAAUUUCUCACGGGUCUACUUCACCUGAUAAUGGACACAAAUACUCCCUCUACCUUAACCCGAGAAGAGCCCGAACCCUCAAAGUGAGGCGAGCUUGGGUGGAAGGAGGGGAAACAGAUGGAGAGGAGCCCUG